CCUACGGGGGUCAGCAGUGGGGGAUAUUGCACAAUGGGGGAAACCCUGAUGCAGCGACGCCGCGUGUGGGAAGACGGUCCUCUGGAUUGUAAACCACUGUCCCCAGGGACGCAGAUGACGGUACCUGGGGAGGAAGCUCCGGCUAACUACGUGCCAGCAGCCGCGGUAAUACGUAGGGAGCGAGCGUUGUCCGGAAUUACUGGGUGUAAAGGGAGCGUAGACGGCGAGGUAAGCCUGAAGUGGAAGCCCGCGGCCCAACCGCGGAACUGCUUUGGGAACUGUUUUGCAGGAGUAUGGGAGGGGUAAGCGGAAUUCCUGGUGUAGCGGUGAAAUGCGUAGAUAUCAGGAGGAACACCGGUGGCGAAGGCGGCUUACUGGACCAUAACUGACGUUGAGGCUCGAAAGCGUGGGGAGCGAACAGGAUUAGAUACCCUUGUAGUC
Molecule: ribosomal RNA, 441 nt
Filed under: uncultured bacterium
Lineage: Bacteria
Description: partial 16S ribosomal RNA
Rfam family: Bacterial small subunit ribosomal RNA
Source: RNAcentral